UUUUAAAUAGUUUAAAUAAAACAUAAUAUUGAAGAUAUUAAAAAGAUAAUAUAUCUUUAAAAU
Molecule: transfer RNA, 63 nt
Filed under: Ibalia sp. ZJUH 20220011
Lineage: Eukaryota; Metazoa; Arthropoda; Insecta; Hymenoptera; Ibaliidae
Description: tRNA-Phe
Source: RNAcentral